Molecule: ribosomal RNA, 253 nt
Filed under: uncultured bacterium
Lineage: Bacteria
Description: partial 16S ribosomal RNA
Rfam family: Bacterial small subunit ribosomal RNA
Source: RNAcentral
UACGGAGGGUGCAAGCGUUGUUCGGAAUCAUUGGGCGUAAAGCGCGUGUAGGCGGCUUGGCAAGUCGGUUGUGAAAGCCCGGGGCCCAACCCCGGAACUGCAUCUGAAACUGCCUGGCUAGAGUCCCGGAGAGGAAGGCAGAAUUCCCGGUGUAGGGGUGAAAUCCGUAGAUAUCGGGAGGAACACCGGUGGCGAAGGCGGCGACCUGGGUCGAGACUGACGCUGAGGCGCGAAAGCGUGGGGAGCAAACAGG